GGCUAAUCUGCCCUUAGGACGAGAACAACCCCGGGAAACUGGGGCUAACUCUCGAUAGGCGAAGAACUCUGGAAUGAGUCUUUACCUAAAUAGUGCAACGUUAUCCUCGUUGCAUCGCCUAAGGAUGAGGCCGCGACCGAUCAGGUUGUUGGCGAGGUAAUGGCUCACCAAGCCUUUUACCGGUGCGGGCCGUGGGAGCGGGAGCCCGGAGAUGGGCACUGAGACAAGGGCCCAGGCCCUACGGGGCGCAGCAGUCGCGAAAACUUUGCAAUAAGCGAAAGCUUGACAGGGCUAUCCCGAGUGCCAUCCGCUGAGGAAGGCUUUUACCCAGUCUAGAACGCUGGGGGAAUAAGGAGAGGGCAAGUCUGGUGUCAGCCGCCGCGGUAAUACCAGCUCUCCGAGUGGUGUGGAUGUUUAUUGGGCCUAAAGCAUCCGUAGCUGGCUAGGUCAGUCCCUUGUUAAAUCCACCGAAUUAAUCGUUGGAUUGCGGGGGAUACUGCUUGGCUAGGGGACGAGAGAGGCAGACGGUAUUUUCGGGGUAGGGGUGAAAUCCUAUAAUCCCGGGAAGACCACCAGUGGCGAAGGCUGUCUGCUAGAACGCGCCCGACGGUGAGGGAUGAAAGCUGGGGGAGCGAACCGGAUUAGAUACCCGGGUAGUCCCAGCUGUAAACGAUGCAGACUAGGUGUUUGGACGGCCACGUGCCGUUCUAGUGCCGCAGGGAAGCUGUUAAGUCUGCCGCCUGGGGAGUACGAUCGCAAGAUUGAAACUUAA
RNAcentral lists this ribosomal RNA (772 nucleotides) under uncultured archaeon. RNAcentral describes it as "bacterial SSU rRNA". It matches the Rfam family "Archaeal small subunit ribosomal RNA", at positions 102 to 859 of the family's 1478-position model. The record is from RNAcentral.